Prionailurus viverrinus (fishing cat) is the source of this 275-nucleotide long non-coding RNA. RefSeq lists it as uncharacterized. The record is from RefSeq and is a predicted model, not a curated record. The transcript has 3 exons. Lineage: Eukaryota; Metazoa; Chordata; Mammalia; Carnivora; Felidae.
GCUGGUAGCAGCAGAGGCAGUGGUAGCAGAGAAGGCAGCAGAAGACCCCGCACUGGGACAGUGCAACUUUUCUGGAAAAAGAAUUAAAAACAAAUACAGCAUCAUCCUGAAAUUCCAAAGUUCCCAGUGUAAUGCAUAAGGAACCUCAAAGCAUCCUUCUGAAUGGAUUAAGAUUCAUCGAUCCUACCCACAUAAACCAAGAUUCACAGAUCUUGUGUCCUAUCUUAACUGAUAGCUAUCUCCCAGAUUUGGAAGGUGAAAUGUUCUUUACUUCU